RNAcentral lists this ribosomal RNA (253 nucleotides) under uncultured bacterium. RNAcentral's name for it is "partial 16S ribosomal RNA". It matches the Rfam family "Bacterial small subunit ribosomal RNA", at positions 524 to 776 of the family's 1533-position model. The record is from RNAcentral.
UACAGAGGGGGCAAGCGUUAUUCGGAAUUAUUGGGCGUAAAGGGCGCGUAGGCGGCCUGGCAAGUGGAAGGUGAAAUCCCUCGGCUUAACCGAGGAACUGCCCUCCAAACUGCUUGGCUUGAGUCCGGGAGAGGUGAGUGGAAUUCCCAGUGUAGCGGUGAAAUGCGUAGAUAUUGGGAGGAACACCAGUGGCGAAGGCGGCUCACUGGACCGGAACUGACGCUGAGGCGCGAAGGCGUGGGGAGCAAACGGG